This 449-nucleotide ribosomal RNA is filed under the name uncultured bacterium. RNAcentral describes it as "partial 16S ribosomal RNA". It matches the Rfam family "Bacterial small subunit ribosomal RNA", at positions 29 to 523 of the family's 1533-position model. The record is from RNAcentral.
AACGAACGCUGGCGGCAUGCCUAACACAUGCAAGUCGAACGAGAUCUUCGGGUCUAGUGGCGCACGGGUGCGUAACCCGUGGGAAUCUGCCCUUUGGUUCGGAAUAACAGUUGGAAACGACUGCUAAUACCGGAUGAUGACGAAAGUCCAAAGAUUUAUCGCCAGAGGAUGAGCCCGCGUAGGAUUAGCUAGUUGGUGUGGUAAAGGCGCACCAAGGCGACGAUCCUUAGCUGGUCUGAGAGGAUGAUCAGCCACACUGGGACUGAGACACGGCCCAGACUCCUACGGGAGGCAGCAGUGGGAAAUAUUGGACAAUGGGCGAAAGCCUGAUCCAGCAAUGCCGCGUGAGUGAUGAAGGCCUUAGGGUUGUAAAGCUCUUUUACCCGGGAUGAUAAUGACAGUACCGGGAGAAUAAGCUCCGGCUAACUCCGUGCCAGCCGCCGCGGUAA